UACGGAGGGUGCUAGCGUUGUUCGGAAUCAUUGGGCGUAAAGGGUGUGUAGGUGGCGCGCUAAGUCGGGUGUGAAAUUUCGGAGCUUAACUCCGAAACUGCAUUCGAUACUGGCGUGCUUGAGGACUGGAGAGGAGACUGGAAUUCAUGGUGUAGCAGUGAAAUGCGUAGAGAUCAUGAGGAAGACCAGUGGCGAAGGCGGGUCUCUGGACAGUUCCUGACACUGAGACACGAAGGCCAGGGGAGCAAACGGG
This 253-nucleotide ribosomal RNA is filed under the name uncultured bacterium. RNAcentral's name for it is "partial 16S ribosomal RNA". It matches the Rfam family "Bacterial small subunit ribosomal RNA", at positions 524 to 776 of the family's 1533-position model. The record is from RNAcentral.